GGUUAAGCGACUAAGCGUACACGGUGGAUGCCCUGGCAGUCAGAGGCGAUGAAGGACGUGCUAAUCUGCGAUAAGCGUCGGUAAGGUGAUAUGAACCGUUAUAACCGGCGAUUUCCGAAUGGGGAAACCCAGUGUGAUUCGUCACACUAUCAUUAACUGAAUCCAUAGGUUAAUGAGGCGAACCGGGGGAACUGAAACAUCUAAGUACCCCGAGGAAAAGAAAUCAACCGAGAUUCCCCCAGUAGCGGCGAGCGAACGGGGAGCAGCCCAGAGCCUGAAUCAGUGUGUGUGUUAGUGGAAGCGUCUGGAAAGGCGUGCGAUACAGGGUGACAGCCCCGUACACAAAAAUGCACAUAUUGUGAGCUCGAUGAGUAGGGCGGGACACGUGGUAUCCUGUCUGAAUAUGGGGGGACC
Molecule: ribosomal RNA, 414 nt
Filed under: Escherichia coli
Lineage: Bacteria; Pseudomonadati; Pseudomonadota; Gammaproteobacteria; Enterobacterales; Enterobacteriaceae
Description: partial 23S ribosomal RNA
Rfam family: Bacterial large subunit ribosomal RNA
Source: RNAcentral